This is a non-coding RNA of Acanthosepion pharaonis, 113 nucleotides long. The record is from the annotation of a GenBank genome assembly. Lineage: Eukaryota; Metazoa; Mollusca; Cephalopoda; Sepiida; Sepiidae.
UUACAGCCAUACCAUAUUGAAACACAGGUUCCAGUAUGAUCACUGAAGUUAAGUAACAUCAAGCCUGGUCAGUAUCUAGAUGGGUGACUGCUUGGGAAUACCAGAUGCUGCAA